Molecule: ribosomal RNA, 2461 nt
Filed under: Escherichia coli
Lineage: Bacteria; Pseudomonadati; Pseudomonadota; Gammaproteobacteria; Enterobacterales; Enterobacteriaceae
Also listed under: 2 other names
Description: partial 23S ribosomal RNA
Rfam family: Bacterial large subunit ribosomal RNA
Source: RNAcentral
UCCUGACUGACCGAUAGUGAACCAGUACCGUGAGGGAAAGGCGAAAAGAACCCCGGCGAGGGGAGUGAAAAAGAACCUGAAACCGUGUACGUACAAGCAGUGGGAGCACGCUUAGGCGUGUGACUGCGUACCUUUUGUAUAAUGGGUCAGCGACUUAUAUUCUGUAGCAAGGUUAACCGAAUAGGGGAGCCGAAGGGAAACCGAGUCUUAACUGGGCGUUAAGUUGCAGGGUAUAGACCCGAAACCCGGUGAUCUAGCCAUGGGCAGGUUGAAGGUUGGGUAACACUAACUGGAGGACCGAACCGACUAAUGUUGAAAAAUUAGCGGAUGACUUGUGGCUGGGGGUGAAAGGCCAAUCAAACCGGGAGAUAGCUGGUUCUCCCCGAAAGCUAUUUAGGUAGCGCCUCGUGAAUUCAUCUCCGGGGGUAGAGCACUGUUUCGGCAAGGGGGUCAUCCCGACUUACCAACCCGAUGCAAACUGCGAAUACCGGAGAAUGUUAUCACGGGAGACACACGGCGGGUGCUAACGUCCGUCGUGAAGAGGGAAACAACCCAGACCGCCAGCUAAGGUCCCAAAGUCAUGGUUAAGUGGGAAACGAUGUGGGAAGGCCCAGACAGCCAGGAUGUUGGCUUAGAAGCAGCCAUCAUUUAAAGAAAGCGUAAUAGCUCACUGGUCGAGUCGGCCUGCGCGGAAGAUGUAACGGGGCUAAACCAUGCACCGAAGCUGCGGCAGCGACGCUUAUGCGUUGUUGGGUAGGGGAGCGUUCUGUAAGCCUGCGAAGGUGUGCUGUGAGGCAUGCUGGAGGUAUCAGAAGUGCGAAUGCUGACAUAAGUAACGAUAAAGCGGGUGAAAAGCCCGCUCGCCGGAAGACCAAGGGUUCCUGUCCAACGUUAAUCGGGGCAGGGUGAGUCGACCCCUAAGGCGAGGCCGAAAGGCGUAGUCGAUGGGAAACAGGUUAAUAUUCCUGUACUUGGUGUUACUGCGAAGGGGGGACGGAGAAGGCUAUGUUGGCCGGGCGACGGUUGUCCCGGUUUAAGCGUGUAGGCUGGUUUUCCAGGCAAAUCCGGAAAAUCAAGGCUGAGGCGUGAUGACGAGGCACUACGGUGCUGAAGCAACAAAUGCCCUGCUUCCAGGAAAAGCCUCUAAGCAUCAGGUAACAUCAAAUCGUACCCCAAACCGACACAGGUGGUCAGGUAGAGAAUACCAAGGCGCUUGAGAGAACUCGGGUGAAGGAACUAGGCAAAAUGGUGCCGUAACUUCGGGAGAAGGCACGCUGAUAUGUAGGUGAAGUCCCUUGCGGAUGGAGCUGAAAUCAGUCGAAGAUACCAGCUGGCUGCAACUGUUUAUUAAAAACACAGCACUGUGCAAACACGAAAGUGGACGUAUACGGUGUGACGCCUGCCCGGUGCCGGAAGGUUAAUUGAUGGGGUCAGCGCAAGCGAAGCUCUUGAUCGAAGCCCCGGUAAACGGCGGCCGUAACUAUAACGGUCCUAAGGUAGCGAAAUUCCUUGUCGGGUAAGUUCCGACCUGCACGAAUGGCGUAAUGAUGGCCAGGCUGUCUCCACCCGAGACUCAGUGAAAUUGAACUCGCUGUGAAGAUGCAGUGUACCCGCGGCAAGACGGAAAGACCCCGUGAACCUUUACUAUAGCUUGACACUGAACAUUGAGCCUUGAUGUGUAGGAUAGGUGGGAGGCUUUGAAGUGUGGACGCCAGUCUGCAUGGAGCCGGCCUUGAAAUACCACCCUUUAAUGUUUGAUGUUCUAACGUGGACCCGUGAUCCGGGUUGCGGACAGUGUCUGGUGGGUAGUUUGACUGGGGCGGUCUCCUCCUAAAGAGUAACGGAGGAGCACGAAGGUUGGCUAAUCCUGGUCGGACAUCAGGAGGUUAGUGCAAUGGCAUAAGCCAGCUUGACUGCGAGCGUGACGGCGCGAGCAGGUGCGAAAGCAGGUCAUAGUGAUCCGGUGGUUCUGAAUGGAAGGGCCAUCGCUCAACGGAUAAAAGGUACUCCGGGGAUAACAGGCUGAUACCGCCCAAGAGUUCAUAUCGACGGCGGUGUUUGGCACCUCGAUGUCGGCUCAUCACAUCCUGGGGCUGAAGUAGGUCCCAAGGGUAUGGCUGUUCGCCAUUUAAAGUGGUACGCGAGCUGGGUUUAGAACGUCGUGAGACAGUUCGGUCCCUAUCUGCCGUGGGCGCUGGAGAACUGAGGGGGGCUGCUCCUAGUACGAGAGGACCGGAGUGGACGCAUCACUGGUGUUCGGGUUGUCAUGCCAAUGGCACUGCCCGGUAGCUAAAUGCGGAAGAGAUAAGUGCUGAAAGCAUCUAAGCACGAAACUUGCCCCGAGAUGAGUUCUCCCUGACCCUUUAAGGGUCCUGAAGGAACGUUGAAGACGACGACGUUGAUAGGCCGGGUGUGUAAGCGCAGCGAUGCGUUGAGCUAACCGGUACUAAUGAACCGUGAG